UCUGUAGCAGAGGUUGGUGUUUGC
RNAcentral lists this non-coding RNA (24 nucleotides) under Cricetulus griseus (Chinese hamster). The record is from RNAcentral. Lineage: Eukaryota; Metazoa; Chordata; Mammalia; Rodentia; Cricetidae.